UACAGAGGUCCCAAGCGUUGUUCGGAUUCAUUGGGCGUAAAGGGUGCGUAGGUGGCGCUGUAAGUCGGGUGUGAAAUUUCGGAGCUUAACUCCGAAACUGCAUUCGAUACUGCGGUGCUUGAGGACUGGAGAGGAGACUGGAAUUCAUGGUGUAGCAGUGAAAUGCGUAGAGAUCAUGAGGAAGACCAGUGGCGAAGGCGGGUCUCUGGACAGUUACUGACGCUGAGGCACGAAGGCCAGGGGAGCAAACGGG
This 253-nucleotide ribosomal RNA is filed under the name uncultured bacterium. RNAcentral's name for it is "partial 16S ribosomal RNA". It matches the Rfam family "Bacterial small subunit ribosomal RNA", at positions 524 to 776 of the family's 1533-position model. The record is from RNAcentral.